GCCCCUGUAGGGCAAUGGAUAGCGCGUUGGACUUGUAAUUCAAAGGUCGUAAGUUAGAAUCUUACCUGGGAUG
Trichonephila clavata is the source of this 73-nucleotide non-coding RNA. NCBI's taxonomy places the organism in Eukaryota, Metazoa, Arthropoda, Arachnida, Araneae, Nephilidae. The record is from the annotation of a GenBank genome assembly.